CUUUUUUUUUUUUUUUUUAUUUAAUAUAUAAAUAAUUUAACUUGCUGCCGACUGCAGUUCUAAUGUAAUCGAGCAAAUUUAUAUGGCAGAAUCCAUUAACAACGCGAACAAAGAAGGAGCUAAAUUCUGGAUGCGAUGCCAGAGUAUCGUUUGGCAUGUGCUCUCUUAGGGAAAAGUGCCAAAGGAAAUCGGCAAACUCCACACCACAAAAACACGUCUGAGUUGAAUAGAUUUGGUUUCCAAGCCCCUGGAAUGCUGGUAACUCUAGCUGCUAUGCCACCAUGAAAAAUGUGACAACUCGAUCUCAGCAGGACUAUCUGUUCCUGAACUGAAGAAGGGAGCCAAGGCAAGACGACCAAUAACGUCACUGCUGGUUUGCUCUGUCUGUGUGAAGUGUUCAAUAAAUACCCUUGCUGUUCGUGUUUUGAAUUGAAUAAAGCUGGUU
Polypterus senegalus (gray bichir) is the source of this 445-nucleotide long non-coding RNA. RefSeq lists it as uncharacterized. The transcript is spliced from 3 exons. The record is from RefSeq and is a predicted model, not a curated record. NCBI's taxonomy places the organism in Eukaryota, Metazoa, Chordata, Cladistia, Polypteriformes, Polypteridae.